UCAAUGAUUUUUUAAAUUGCUGUAGUAUUUUGACUAUACAAAGGUAUUGAAAUAAGAUUUUAAUUGAAUGCUAAGAGAAUGGAAGUCCAGAAAAAAACUUUUUUUAAAUUAAAAAUUGAAGUUUUUUUAAUUUGUGCAGAAACAAUUAUUUAUAUUAAAGACAAGAAGACCCUAUGAAUUUAUUAAAUUUUUAUUUAAUAUGUAAUUACUAUUAGAAAAAUUUUGGCUGGGGCGGCUAGAAAAUAUUAUGAACUUUUUAAAAAUAAAAUGAUCCAUUAUUAAUGAUUUUAUGUUAAAUACUCUAGGGA
This 308-nucleotide ribosomal RNA is filed under the name Rhipicephalus sanguineus (brown dog tick). RNAcentral's name for it is "partial large subunit ribosomal RNA". The record is from RNAcentral. Lineage: Eukaryota; Metazoa; Arthropoda; Arachnida; Ixodida; Ixodidae.